GAGUUUGAUCCUGGCUCAGAACGAACGCUGGCGGCGUGGAUAAGACAUGCAAGUCGAGCGGGAUACACAAGGUAGCAAUAUUUUGUGUGUUCAGCGGCGCAAGGGUGCGUAACACGUGGGUAAUUUGCCAUGAAGUCCGGAACAACCUGCUGAAAGGCGGGCUAAUGCCGGAUGUGACUGCGGAGGAGCAUUUUUCUGCAUUCAAAGUUGGGGACCGCAAGGCCUGACGCUUCAUGAUAAGCCCGCGGCCUAUCAGCUAGUUGGUGAGGUAACGGCUCACCAAGGCUAAGACGGGUAGCUGGUCUGAGAGGACGACCAGCCACACUGGAACUGAGAUACGGUCCAGACACCUACGGGUGCAGCAGUCGAGAAUUUUCACAAUGGGCGAAAGCCUGAUGGAGCGACGCCGCGUGGGGGAUGAAUGGCUUCGGCCCGUAAACCCCUGUCAUUUGCGAUCAAACCUUUCCACCUAACACGUGGAGAGCUGAUAGUAGCGGAAGAGGAA
This 505-nucleotide ribosomal RNA is filed under the name uncultured bacterium. Its description in RNAcentral is "bacterial SSU rRNA". It matches the Rfam family "Bacterial small subunit ribosomal RNA", at positions 9 to 489 of the family's 1533-position model. RNAcentral also lists the same sequence under 1 other name. The record is from RNAcentral.